AUUGAACGCUGGCGGCAGGCCUAACACAUGCAAGUCGAGCGGUAGAAGGGAACAGGCUGCUGGAUCCAGGAGGGGAGGGGGAAGGAAUGGCUAGGAAUCGGAAAGGGAGUGGGGGAGAACGUCCAGAAACGGGCACGAAUGCCGCAAACGCACAGCGUGAGAAAGCGGAGGAGCGUCGGACUUCACGCUCUCAGCAGAGGCUAGGUGGGAUUAGCUAGUUGGUGGGGUAACGGCAAACCUAGGCGACGAUCCCUAACUGGUCUGAGAGGAUGAGCAGUCACACUGGAACUGAGACACGGUCCAGACUCCUACGGGAGGCAGCAGUGGGGAAUAUUGGACAAUGGGCGCAAGCCUGAUGCAGCCAUGCCGCGUGUGUGAAGAAGGCCUUCGGGUUGUAAAGCACUUUAAGUUGGGAUGAAGGGAAGUAAGUUAAUACCUUGCUGCUUUGACGUUACCAACAGAAUAAGCACCGGCUAACUCCGUG
RNAcentral lists this ribosomal RNA (484 nucleotides) under uncultured bacterium. RNAcentral's name for it is "partial 16S ribosomal RNA". It matches the Rfam family "Bacterial small subunit ribosomal RNA", at positions 29 to 507 of the family's 1533-position model. The record is from RNAcentral.